Molecule: ribosomal RNA, 292 nt
Filed under: uncultured bacterium
Lineage: Bacteria
Description: partial 16S ribosomal RNA
Rfam family: Bacterial small subunit ribosomal RNA
Source: RNAcentral
UAGGGAAUCUUCCACAAUGGACGCAAGUCUGAUGGAGCAACGCCGCGUGAGUGAAGAAGGUUUUCGGACCGUAAAGCUCUGUUGUUGGUGAAGAAGGAUAGAGGUAGUAACUGGCCUUUAUUUGACGGUAAUCAACCAGAAAGUCACGGCUAACUACGUGCCAGCAGCCGCGGUAAUCGUAGGUGGCAAGCGUUGUCCGGAUUUAUUGGGCGUAAAGCGAGCGCAGGCGGAAGAAUAAGUCUGAUGUGAAAGCCCUCGGCUUAACCGAGGAAUUGCAUCGGAAACUGUUUUC